This 1851-nucleotide long non-coding RNA is filed under the name Lonchura striata (white-rumped munia). RNAcentral describes it as "domestica (Bengalese finch) lncRNA (ENSLSDG00000010925.1)". Lineage: Eukaryota; Metazoa; Chordata; Aves; Passeriformes; Estrildidae. The record is from RNAcentral.
AGACUUGUGUCUUAUGAUUGAUCAACUUUUGAAUUGAUUUUUGUUAACAAAAUUUUAUGAGGCAUCCUCAGACAAGUGAAGGGGAUCCCGUUCUUGCUUCCAGUCUCCUUCCAUUUCAAAAACAGAUGGACAAAAAAAGACAGCAAUGCCAUAAUUUCACUUAAUUUCUUAGUGAAAUUAAGAUUAAAGCCUCAUGUUUUACUCUGAUGUCAUAUCAUUCUUUAUAUAAAUGAAUAUUUCAACCUAUUUUCUACUACAUCUGCAUUUUUUAGUGAAUCAGAAUAGCCACGAAACUAAGAACUCCAUGGUAGGAUCAUAAACCACUUUUAAGAUCACAUAAACUAUAAAAAUUCCAAGAUAAUUUUUUCUUCAUUAACUCACCUUCCAAAGAACAGCCCUCACUUUUUGCUUAAUACAGUAUCAGUGACUUCAAAGUUUCUUUACAUAUACCUCUUUUAAGUUGUAACUGCAGUGACACCAGUACUCCAUAUGGACAAGCAGUGGACUUCUGGGGUGACAGAGGACCUGCAGUGGAAGUAAAGGCAUGAAUGGUUGUCCUCAGGCCUGCAGGUUAAGAAGCAUCUAGAAGACAAACCAGACUCUCCCCAGACUCUCUGUGUAACACACAGCCUACCAAAGAAUUCCUCUGGCCCGGUGUGCUGUGUGGGUGAAAGAAACGAGUUUGUCCUGCCUCGCUGCUCUCUUCUUGGCCUGAGAUCAGCACGUUGUUGAGCACGCAGCAGAUCGUGACCAGAGGCAAUGGCCUCUUUCAACAGCCCAGUAACACGUGCUGGGUUGAGAGCUGCUGACUUUAAAGAGCUGAGCCUCCUUCUGCCAAGAAUGAAGCCUUUAUCAUGGUUGCUGUAUUGAAAAGUGAGACAUAGGUGAGAAAGAAAAAUACUUUUAGAGCAUUUGAAGAUUAUUUCAGUUAUAGUUUUAAAUUUAUACAGGAUGUAACUAACAUUUCUGUCUGAAUUUACCCACUGUAGUAAGAAUAGAUCUUAAUGAAUGUUUAAAGCCUGAGCAGUUUAUGAAAGAAAUUAUAUAACAUAGUGUUAUAGAAGCAGUGGAUUGAAUUCAGUGACCUAAAAAAUGCUUACAUUUAUUUCUGUCUUAGGAAGUUCCUAGGUCUACCUGUCAGCAGCAGGACAUAUUCCCAGGAAAUCAAUUAUACAUGUAAACAAAAAUAUCAUGGAGAUUAAAGAACAUAUGAAAGACCAAGCACAGUUCUUCUUUCACAACACCGUGAAUCAAGAGUAACUUCACUGAAGCCAAUGAGUUAUAGCAGUGUGAGUGAGAAAAGAACCAGCUCCAUUGCCUGAAAAUUACUUGGGCCACCCAUGGAGUCCAAUCAGAGGAACUGCAGGCAGAUAAUAUUACAGCAUUUAAUUCAGAAAUCCCAAGUCUGAAUAGAGGAGACUGAAAAGAAAGGAACUGAAUUUGAUUUUGGUUUUUAAAAAAACCCUGAAAAAUAGCAGGAAAAUGGUGAAUGGAAACAAAAAAAAAUUACUCCAUUUCUAAAAAAAUCUCUCUCCAAAAAACAAUUUGCAUAGACCAAAGAACAAAUCUGUAUGCUUUGGGCUUUUUUUAACACCAUGCGGGUACCCAGUUAACAGUGGCUGAGCUGUAUGCUUCCCUGAAGGCAAAGUGUUAUCUUGGCUUUCCAAACAGCAGACACAUUUUGUGAGUUGAUGCACACUGUGCUACACCUACCAGAGGAGUGCUGCAGAACGAGGGUCAGACCUUUCCAGCACAGGUCACUGUAACAUAUCCUACCACAUUUUUAGGUAGUAACAUACCUUCACUUUCCCUGCUUUAGUUUACUCCCUCUAAACACACGCUCCAUUUUUC